GUGGGGAAUUUUGGACAAUGGGGGCAACCCUGAUCCAGCAAUGCCGCGUGCAGGAAGAAGGCCUUCGGGUUGUAAACUGCUUUUGUACGGAACGAAACGGUCCUGGUUAAUACCUGGGGCUAAUGACGGUACCGUAAGAAUAAGCACCGGCUAACUACGUGCCAGCAGCCGCGGUAAUACGUAGGGUGCAAGCGUUAAUCGGAAUUACUGGGCGUAAAGCGUGCGCAGGCGGUUUUGUAAGACAGGCGUGAAAUCCCCGGGCUCAACCUGGGAAUGGCGCGUGUGACUGCAAGGCUGGAGUGCGGCAGAGGGGGAUGGAAUUCCGCGUGUAGCAGUGAAAUGCGUAGAUAUGCGGAGGAACACCGAUGGCGAAGGCAAUCCCCUGGGCCUGCACUGACGCUCAUGCACGAAAGCGUGGGGAGCAAACAGGAUUAGAAACCCCUGUAGUCC
RNAcentral lists this ribosomal RNA (450 nucleotides) under uncultured bacterium. RNAcentral's name for it is "partial 16S ribosomal RNA". It matches the Rfam family "Bacterial small subunit ribosomal RNA", at positions 354 to 796 of the family's 1533-position model. The record is from RNAcentral.